GACGAACGCUGGCGGCGUGCUUAACACAUGCAAGUCGGACGUGAUUUUUGUGGAAAGCCCUUCGGGGACGGAAAUGAAAUGAAAGUGGCGAACGGGUGAGUAACACGUGAGCAACCUACCUUACACAGGGGGAUAGCCGUUGGAAACGACGAUUAAUACCGCAUGAGACCACAGAAUCGCAUGAUAUAGGGGUCAAAGAUUUAUCGGUGUAAGAAGGGCUCGCGUCUGAUUAGCUAGUUGGAAGGGUAAAGGCCUACCAAGGCGACGAUCAGUAGCCGGUCUGAGAGGAUGAACGGCCACAUUGGAACUGAGACACGGUCCAAACUCCUACGGGAGGCAGCAGUGGGGAAUAUUGCACAAUGGGGGGAACCCUGAUGCAGCGACGCCGCGUGAGCGAAGAAGGUUUUCGAAUCGUAAAGCUCUGUCCUAUGAGAAGAUAAUGACGGUAUCAUAGGAGGAAGCCCCGGCUAAAUACGUGCCAGCAGCCGCGGUAAUACGUAUGGGGCGAGCGUUGUCCGGAAUUAUUGGGCGUAAAGGGUACGUAGGCGGUUUUUUAAGUCAGGUGUGAAAGCGUGAGGCUUAACCUCAUUAAGCACUUGAAACUGGAAGACUUGAGUGAAGGAGAGGAAAGUGGAAUUCCUAGUGUAGCGGUGAAAUGCGUAGAUAUUAGGAGGAAUACCGGUGGCGAAGGCGAAUUUCUGGACUUUUACUGACG
Molecule: ribosomal RNA, 715 nt
Filed under: uncultured Clostridium sp.
Lineage: Bacteria; Bacillati; Bacillota; Clostridia; Eubacteriales; Clostridiaceae
Description: bacterial SSU rRNA
Rfam family: Bacterial small subunit ribosomal RNA
Source: RNAcentral